UACGUAGGGUGCGAGCGUUGUCCGGAAUUACUGGGCGUAAAGAGCUCGUAGGUGGUUUGUCGCGUUGUUCGUGAAAUCCCACGGCUUAACUGUGGGCGUGCGGGCGAUACGGGCAGACUGGAGUACUGCAGGGGAGACUGGAAUUCCUGGUGUAGCGGCGGAAUGCGCAGAUAUCAGGAGGAACACCGGUGGCGAAGGCGGGUCUCUGGGCCGAUAUUGACGCUGAGGAGCGAAAGCGUGGGGAGCGAACAGG
RNAcentral lists this ribosomal RNA (253 nucleotides) under uncultured bacterium. RNAcentral's name for it is "partial 16S ribosomal RNA". It matches the Rfam family "Bacterial small subunit ribosomal RNA", at positions 524 to 776 of the family's 1533-position model. The record is from RNAcentral.